Molecule: ribosomal RNA, 375 nt
Filed under: uncultured bacterium
Lineage: Bacteria
Description: bacterial SSU rRNA
Rfam family: Bacterial small subunit ribosomal RNA
Source: RNAcentral
ACACGUAGGGGGCAAGCGUUGUCCGGAAUCACUGGGCGUAAAGGGUGCGUAGGCGGUAUGCCAAGUCAGGUGUGAAACCCCAUGGCUCAACUGUGGGCUUGCACAUGAAACUGGUAUGCUUGAGUGCAGGAGAGGAAAGCGGAAUUCCUAGUGUAGCGGUGAAAUGCGUAGAUAUUAGGAGGAACACCAGUAGCGAAGGCGGCUUUCUGGACUGUAACUGACGCUGAGGCACGAAAGCGUGGGGAGCAAACAGGAUUAGAUACCCUGGUAGUCCACGCUGUAAACUAUGGAUACUAGGUGUAGGGGUUUAAAGACUUCUGUGCCGGAGUUAACGCAAUAAGUAUCCCGCCUGGGGAGUACGGCCGCAAGGCUGAA